Esox lucius (northern pike) is the source of this 581-nucleotide long non-coding RNA. The record is from Ensembl. Lineage: Eukaryota; Metazoa; Chordata; Actinopteri; Esociformes; Esocidae.
GAGAGAGGGCAUUGGAGUAACUGGCACAGCAAGGUUGCCGAGGCAGGACGUGACAGGAAUUGUCUUUUGCACAGUUAUGGAGAUGUUUCCUCCUCACCACAUCAGUAAUGGUAUCCACAGUUGUCUACCCACGGAAGAUCUGCUCUGGAAUGUAAGAGCACUGUGACCCCUGUGGAUACUCUACAGAAAAAGAGAGCGAUGGAGUAAUAGGGAAAAUAAAGAGACAAGGUAGGGACUCUGCCAUACUAGCCUCCAGUGGAUGCUGGUUCCAAAAUUGAGGAAUCAGGACAGAGAAGAGUCUUGACUGCGUGGAUCGGGAGGUGGCUUCCCAAAGGCAUGGGACGACCAGGAGGCAAGACAAGGAUGAACAAAGAGCUGUGGGAUCCGCAACGGAAGAAAACGGUGGUGCCUCAAAGCCAUUGUGGUAUAUGAUUGAUGAGACAAGAAACUUGGCCCAAAUGACCUGAAACCUCCCAACCCAACUCAACAUUCCAGCAGGAAUUCCCAGCCUCUGCCACAGAGGCAUUCCCCUUUUUAUAAGAACUUGUGGUCGGACCUUCUCUAGUCAAUUUGACAGCCUG